AUUCGAUGAUACCCGAGGAACCUUACCCGGGCUUGAAUUGCAGAGGAAGGAUUUAGAGAUAAUGACGCCCUUCGGGGUCUCUGUGAAGGUGCUGCAUGGUUGUCGUCAGCUCGUGCCGUGAGGUGUCGGCUUAAGUGCCAUAACGAGCGCAACCCCUGUCUUUAGUUGCCAUCAGGUGAUGCUGGGCACUCUGGAGAUACUGCCACCGUAAGGUGUGAGGAAGGUGGGGAUGACGUCAAAUCAGCACGGCCCUUACGUCCGGGGCUACACACGUGUUACAAUGGCCGGUACAGAGGGACGGUGUAAUGUAAAUUGCAUCCAAUCUUGAAAGCCGGUCCCAGUUCGGACUGGGGUCUGCAACCCGACCCCACGAAGCUGGAUUCGCUAGUAAUCGCGCAUCAGCCAUGGCGCGGUGAAUACGUUCCCGGGCCUUGUACACACCGCCCGUCAAGCCAUGAAAGCCGGGGGUGCCUGAAGUCCGUGACCGCAAGGAUCGGCCUAGGGCAAAACUGGUGAUUGGGGCUAAGUCGUAACAAGGUAGCCA
RNAcentral lists this ribosomal RNA (544 nucleotides) under uncultured bacterium. RNAcentral describes it as "bacterial SSU rRNA". It matches the Rfam family "Bacterial small subunit ribosomal RNA", at positions 949 to 1502 of the family's 1533-position model. The record is from RNAcentral.